UUUCUGGGUGGAUUAAAUAGAGAGAUUCAGACCAUUCUAGACUAUAAGGAGUAUACUAAUAUCACUCGUUUAUUCCAUCUUGCUUGUAAAGCUGAACGUGAAGUGCAGGAUCGACAAGCAUUGGGGCGAACUAACUUUUCUGCAGGCCGACCUUCAUCAUGGACACCACGUGCAUCUUCUACUUCAACUGCACCAGCACCUCAGUCACGUGCCUCCUCCAGUCGUGAUACAAGAAAACAGGCACAACCACCAUUAUCUGCCAAGAGCGCACCUGCUGGGCCUGCACAGAGUUCUUCUUCUUCCAUGGCAUCAACAGGGCACACAAGUGAUAUUAUUUGUCGUCGUUGUAAGGGAGGAGGUCAUUAUGCAAGAGAAUGCAAAUCUCCGCGUGUGAUGAUUGCUACCGCGGAUGGUGGAUAUGAGUCCGCUAGUGACUAUGAUGAGGAGACUUUGGCUCUUAUUACACGUGAAGAACAUGGUGGAGAUGAUUCUGAUCAUGAGACGCAAUACAUGGCUCCUGAAGACGCUGACAGGUAUGAAUGUUUAGUUGCUCAACGUGUUUUGAGUGUGCAGAUCACACAAGCUGAGCAAAAUCAGAGGCACAAUUUGUUCCAU
RNAcentral lists this ribosomal RNA (615 nucleotides) under Triticum aestivum (bread wheat). Its description in RNAcentral is "partial small subunit ribosomal RNA". Lineage: Eukaryota; Viridiplantae; Streptophyta; Magnoliopsida; Poales; Poaceae. The record is from RNAcentral.